Long non-coding RNA from Coregonus clupeaformis (lake whitefish), 3253 nucleotides. RefSeq lists it as uncharacterized. NCBI's taxonomy places the organism in Eukaryota, Metazoa, Chordata, Actinopteri, Salmoniformes, Salmonidae. The record is from RefSeq and is a predicted model, not a curated record. The transcript has 2 exons.
CUCAAUACAACACAUAGAUCACUAGGGGGUGCUAGAGUGCUAAGGACUCAAUACAACACAUAGAUCACUAGGGGGUGCUAGAGUGCUAAGGACUCAAUACAACACAUAGAUCACUAGGGGGUGCUAGAGUGCUAAGGACUCAAUACAACACAUAGAUCACUAGGGGGUGCUAGAGUGCUAAGGACUCAAUACAACACAUAGAUCACUAGGGGGUGCUAGAGUGCUAAGGACUCAAUACAACACAUAGAUCACUAGGUGGUGCUAGAGGGUUAAGGACUCAAUACUACUUACGCCAGUCCAAUGAGCUCACAGUUUGGGUAUAAAGGGGGGGGGGACAAACGGAACGUUCAUAACAUUGGCCUUGCAGGAGUGAUUUGUGGGUAAAAGGGCAGAUUGCUUCUAGUCUUGAGAAGCUAUUGAAGGUCCAUUCAUAAGGUUGCUGAGUGGAGUGGCACUGGACCUACUACUCUCUACACGGGUCACAUACAGCACAGGAACUGAAUACCUGACAUUUCUACAGCGCAGCACACGCCCCACUGUCAAUCAAACCUCCCCCUCCCACACUGUAUCCAGGCACUAAAGUGGGACCAGCCAAAAGAGCACAGAUAAAAUUACUCUUCCAGAGUUAUAUUUAAAGGGUAAACUUUUGUUAUUUUUACCGAUUGUUGUACUCUUUUUUUUAUUUUUAUAAAUCGACUUGUCUUAUUGAUUAGCUUUGCUACUUUCCUUUAUGUUGUGCUGUUGAGGAAGAGCGCCAAUUAAUCACUGUACCAUUUCCACCCACUAUAUUGUUCACGUGACAAAUAAACUGAUUUGAUUUGAGGGGUAGAGGGGGAGAAGGUGAGAGGGACAGAGGAAAGAAAGUAGAGAAAGAGAAGGACGUAGAUAAAGUGAGUGUGGGGAUGGAGAGAGCAAAGUAUAUGUGGAAACGAAGAGGUGUACAACAGUAGAGAAGGUAUAGAAACGAAGAGGUGUUCAGUAGGGAAGGUAUAGAAACGAAGAGGUGUACAGUGGGGAAGGUAUAGAAACGAAGAGGUGUUCAGUAGAGAAGGUAUAGAAACGAAGAGGUGUACAAUAGAGAAGGUAUAGAAACGAAGAGGUGUACAGUGGAGAAGGUAUAGAAACGAAGAGGUGUUCAGUAGGGAAGGUAUAGAAACGAAGAGGUGUACAGUAGGGAAGGUAUAGAAACGAAGAGGUGUACAACAGUAGAGAAGGUAUAGAAACGAAGAGGUGUACAGUAGAGAAGGUAUAGAAACGAAGAGGUGUUCAGUAGAGAAGGUAUAGAAACGAAGAGGUGUUCAGUAGAGAAGGUAUAGAAACGAAGAGGUGUACAGUAGGGAAGGUAUAGAAACGAAGAGGUGUACAGUAGAGAAGGUAUAGAAACGAAGAGGUGUUCAGUAGGGAAGGUAUAGAAACUAAGAGGUGUACAGUAGAGAAGGUAUAGAAACGAAGAGGUGUUCAGUAGAGAAGGUAUAGAAACGAAGAGGUGUACAGUAGAGAAGGUAUAGAAACGAAGAGGUGUACAGUAGGGAAGGUAUAGAAACGAAGAGGUGUACAGUAGAGAAGGUAUAGAAACGAAGAGGUGUUCAGUAGAGAAGGUAUAGAAACGAAGAGGUGUACAGUAGAGAAGGUAUAGAAACGAAGAGGUGUACAGUAGGGAAGGUAUAGAAACGAAGAGGUGUUCAGUAGGGAAGGUAUAGAAACGAAGAGGUGUUCAGUAGAGAAGGUAUAGAAACGAAGAGGUGUUCAGUAGAGAAGGUAUAGAAACGAAGAGGUGUACAAUAGAGAAGGUAUAGAAACGAAGAGGUGUACAGUAGGGAAGGUAUAGAAACGAAGAGGUGUUCAGUAGAGAAGGUAUAGAAACGAAGAGGUGUACAGUAGAGAAGGUAUAGAAACGAAGAGGUGUACAGUAGGGAAGGUAUAGAAACGAAGAGGUGUUCAGUAGAGAAGGUAUAGAAACGAAGAGGUGUACAAUAGAGAAGGUAUAGAAACGAAGAGGUGUACAGUAGGGAAGGUAUAGAAACGAAGAGGUGUUCAGUAGAGAAGGUAUAGAAACGAAGAGGUGUUCAGUAGAGAAGGUAUAGAAACGAAGAGGUGUACAGUAGGGAAGGUAUAGAAACGAAGAGGUGUUCAGUAGAGAAGGUAUAGAAACGAAGAGGUGUUCAGUAGGGAAGGUAUAGAAACGAAGAGGUGUUCAGUAGAGAAGGUAUAGAAACGAAGAGGUGUACAGUAGGGAAGGUAUAGAAACGAAGAGGUGUACAGUAGGGAAGGUAUAGAAACGAAGAGGUGUACAGUAGAGAAGGUAUAGAAACGAAGAGGUGUUCAGUAGGGAAGGUAUAGAAACGAAGAGGUGUACAGUGGGGAAGGUAUAGAAACGAAGAGGUGUACAGUAGGGAAGGUAUAGAAACGAAGAGGUGUUCAGUAGGGAAGGUAUAGAAACGAAGAGGUGUACAGUAGAGAAAGUAUAGAAACGAAGAGGUGUACAGUAGGGAAGGUAUAGAAACGAAGAGGUGUACAGUAGAGAAAGUAUAGAAACGAAGAGGUGUUCAGUAGGGAAGGUAUAGAAACGAAGAGGUGUACAGUAGAGAAGGUAUAGAAACGAAGAGGUGUACAGUAGAGAAGGUAUAGAAACGAAGAGGUGUACAGUAGAGAAAGUAUAGAAAUGAAGAGGUGUUCAGUAGGGAAGGUAUAGAAACGAAGAGGUGUACAGUAGGGAAGGUAUAGAAACGAAGAGGUGUUCAGUAGAGAAGGUAUAGAAACGAAGAGGUGUACAGUAGAGAAAGUAUAGAAACGAAGAGGUGUACAGUAGAGAAAGUAUAGAAACGAAGAGGUGUUCAGUAGGGAAGGUAUAGAAACGAAGAGGUGUACAGUGGGGAAGGUAUAGAAACGAAGAGGUGUUCAGUAGAGAAGGUAUAGAAACGAAGAGGUGUACAAUAGAGAAGGUAUAGAAACGAAGAGGUGUACAGUGGAGAAGGUAUAGAAACGAAGAGGUGUUCAGUAGGGAAGGUAUAGAAACGAAGAGGUGUACAGUAGGGAAGGUAUAGAAAUGAAGAGGUGUACAACAGUAGAGAAGGUAUAGAAACGAAGAGGUGUUCAGUAGAGAAGGUAUAGAAACGAAGAGGUGUACAGUAGGGAAGGUAUAGAAACGAAGAGGUGUUCAGUAGAGAAGGUAUAGAAACGAAGAGGUGUUCAGUAGAGAAGGUAUAGAAACGAAGAGGUGUACAGUAGGGAAGGUAUAGAAACGAAGAGGUGU